This is a long non-coding RNA of Athalia rosae (coleseed sawfly), 1252 nucleotides long. RefSeq lists it as uncharacterized. The transcript has 5 exons. The record is from RefSeq and is a predicted model, not a curated record. Lineage: Eukaryota; Metazoa; Arthropoda; Insecta; Hymenoptera; Athaliidae.
CACAAAAAUGGGAAAAAAUUAGUAUUCAAAAUUUUUAUCGAGCUAUGAAACUACAGCGUGUUAAAGAAAAUCAGAUCGCCGUAGCUGAGGUAUAAGUUUGCUGUGCGUCGCGCAAUCCUUUGAAAGCGCAAACACGUGAGCCGCUCGCACGCGAGUCAAAGAAUAAUAUUGACUCAUUGUCAGUGAAUAUUUUCUUCCCAAGUAUAACGACCUUUGGCAGCGGUAUGAGCUGUUUAACAUACGGAGUUGAAAAAACCGCAGUGCAUGAAUUGAUGUAAACACAAACCGUGAUGAUGACCGGAUGAUUCAACAAUAUCGCACAUGUUCGUCUGUAUCCACUAUUUACCCAAGUGUUGAAUAUUAACGAUUAACGAGACAUCGAGACAGUCGGUAGGCUACGAUUGGUCAACAGGGAUUGAGUGGGGGCAGACCAGAACACCGAUCUAGGAACACCGGCAUUUGUAUAGGAGAAGGAGUUAAAUCGUAUCGAUGAAGUUUGACCCUCUGCGUGACGGACGUUAGAGGAUGUACUUACAAUCAGACGAUAGACGUUGGUGGAGAAAUGAGAACUUGCAUUUUGCAAUAUUCAUUUCCUGAAAUAAAGUGCCAACGAAAUCUAAUAGGGAGGGGUGGAUGGUCAAGAGGAAAAAAAACUAUUUCAGAACGCAAGGUUUGCAGUUUUCUCGAGCGUGAAGGCUGCUGACAAGUGCGAUCCGAUACCUUCACCAUGCAGGUAGGAAGAGGUGAAGUCGGUACACACAUGACAAGCGUAGUGUUGUAAUGGACCAUGUAAAAGAAGAGCAAACAUGUGAAACCCGCUGGGUAUACAUCCGGACGGCUUGUAUCUCGUGCCCAUACUCUAUACUUAUAAGAUUGCGUAGAGAUGGAGAUAAGCUGCAUGGGGUGGUAUCAAAGCCUCGCUAUAUCUGAAUCGGAGAUGCGCAAAUAAUAAUUACGCAACUUGAUAAGUCUAGCUAUUUGUCAGUUGCAGUUUUCUGCACACGACGCCCCGUAACUCGCAGUGAGAUAUUUCGAAUUCUUGAAUCUCCAGUAGCAAAUGAAUGCGACGACGACCGUCAUGGAUGCUGAGAACGUCGCGAGACAACGGACCCGCAUAUAGAUGCAUUGGAUGCGGUUGCUACGCGAUCGUCACUCAUCAUAGUCUACAUUGGAAAAUAAAUUCAAACUAAAUUGGGCUUCAAUUGGUCUGUCUGUCGGCUCACCGACUGACUGAACGAACGAAAGACAAACC